RNAcentral lists this unclassified non-coding RNA (283 nucleotides) under Hevea brasiliensis (rubber tree). Lineage: Eukaryota; Viridiplantae; Streptophyta; Magnoliopsida; Malpighiales; Euphorbiaceae. The record is from RNAcentral.
CCAUAUUUCCUCCAUUGAUAUCCAUCCUUCAGAACUAGGCUUGUAUCGGAUGGAUCUGUCCGAAGAAGAACUCUUGAAAUCUUUGUUUUGCUGGUUUCUUUUGGCCUUCUAGUUGAAUCUAGUUCAUCACUAGAGCUGCUUUCAGUAGUUCCAUUAUUAUUGAUUGCAAUCAUAUUACUAUAAUCUUCGCUCUCGGCCUUUCUCUUCCUAGAUGCAGCCAGUAGCUCUUUCUCGGAGUUCUUGCUCAUCAGAUAAACCAAAUGGUUUUGCAAAGCAUUGUAAU